This 2450-nucleotide long non-coding RNA is filed under the name Podarcis lilfordi (Lilford's wall lizard). Lineage: Eukaryota; Metazoa; Chordata; Lepidosauria; Squamata; Lacertidae. The record is from RNAcentral.
CAACCGAAAACUGAAAGCGGAAGCCUCAAUGUAAUAGGGAAACUCAAAACGGAAGCCGCAUAGCACAUUCAGCGUCUGAAAAUCGUUCGAAAACUGGAGCAGUUACUUCCUGGUUUUCAGCGUUCGGGAGCCGAAACAUUCCAAAAUGGAGGCAUUGGGAACUGAUAUUUGACUGUACUUUGGCUGAUGAUACUCCAUUUCAUUACUCCUCUCCCUCCUAAUGUUCCACGAGGAGGGCGCAAACUUGGCUCCCCCCAAACCUACUGAUUUGAGGAGCAGCACUCACUUCUGAACAUCAGAAAUAGAAACAGUUAUUUCUUUAUCAGGAUGGAAGUUUACCAGUCUUGGCAGGUGAGUCUUUUUACUUGAGUUGUACAGAACUUUUUCUUCAGGCAGCAUGUAUUUUAAAAAAUGUUUCUGGAAGAUGUCACAGCACUUAACCAAGUCUGCAGUCUGUCUCAGUCUGAAAAUGACAGAAGAAAAACUUCUUGCAGCAGAUUAAUUCUGAACUGUGCUUUUUAAAUGCAUUCUAGGCCUUCUUGAACAGAUUUUUGUCUGGGCAGCUCUCCAAAACUAUUUACAUAAAAUACCAGUAAAUAACAUAAUAAUAAAUCGACCCUUGGCAACAACAAGAAAGAGGGGAGGGGAAAUGUAAUAGUUUCUUUUUAAAAAUGAAAGAUCAGUACAAUAUUCACUUGUACCAAAGGACUCCAAUUAUUUUUGAAGCAAUCUUUCAUCAGAGAAGCAUCACGCCCAUGCCAAAGCAAGUGCAUUAAUUUUAACCAGGCUUAUUAUCAGGUUAAGCAUGGCCUCAGAAUCCCAGUUUGGAAAUAAAAAACCUUGCAGUUAUUCAAAUCCGGGUGCUUCCAGGCACGUGUUUAUUGUGGGAUUGGUACUCAUCCUACAUACAAACGUUUUGCAGCAUCCGCAUGAAUCUUCAGAAAGGAGCAGAAGGCUACUAACUAGAACAUUCUUUUAAAAAAGGUUUUGUUUCUCUUCCAAAGUAGGAGUUUAGUUGAAAUAUAGGAAAAUCAACUUUACAUAACUUGUUAAAAACUAAUGGACGACAUAUUUUCCUUUUUAACUAUUGUGAAGUAUUAUAUCUACAUUUAAAAUAGUAUUCCCCCCUGCAAGCUAUGCCCCACAUUUCUACCCCAAAGUAGCACUCACCAAGUGAGAACAUUAACAACUUUGAACUGACAUAGCAUUAUGGGCAUGAGAAUGGAAGGGAGUGUAACACAAAGCAUCAUCAGCAGGUGAUCUGCCUUUGAAUGUGAUCUGAUUCACCCUCUCAUUUUUGUUUAAAAGUCAUAAAAAGGUAAAGGACCCCUGACAGUUAAGUCCAGUCACGAACGACUCUGGGGUUGUGGCACUCAUCUCACUUUACUGGCCUUGGGAGCCAGCAUUUGUCCGCAAACAGUUUUUCCAGGUCACGUGUCCAGCAUGACUAAGACGCUUCUGGUGAAACCAGAGCAGUGCACGGAAAUGCCAUUUAUCUUCCCGCCAGAGCGGUACCUAUUUAUCUACUUGCACUUUAAUGUGCUUUCAAACUGCUAGGUUGGCAGGAGCAGGGACCGAACAACGGGAGCUCACCCCGUUGCCGGGACUCGAACCACUGACCUUCCGAUCGGCAAGCCCUAAGCUCAGUGGUUUAGACCACAGUGCCACUGCAUAAUCCCAUUUGGGGGAGAGAGCAUAAUACCUUCUUCUCAUGCACUUGUUGAAACUUCUAUCAAACAUAUGGUGUAUAUAUAUAUAUUAUUUAUACACUUCUCCUUGCAUUUGAAACCUUGGCCUUAUUUGAAAAUCUCCAGACAAUAUAGACUUGUUAAAUGGGAUGGAUCUAAAAUGUUUCCAGCUCACAGAAAUUAACAGGUUGUCCCCCCGCCACCCUACCGUCAAGUGUCAUUAUUAUAAAUGUCUUCAAAAAAUAUGCGUGCAUGUCUGAAAAUAAUUUACAUGCCAAAGCAUUUGGUAUGAAAAAUGUCCAGGCUCCAAAUGAACUCAGGUUCCUAGAGAUUAAUCACAUAGCAAAUAGGAAAACCGUCAAGAAGGAGCAGCCAUGUCAGGCUGAUGGAGCAAAAACAUGAAAGAGCCUUGCAGCAUCACCACGACUAAAAAAAUUAUUGUGGCCUCAGCUUUGGUGAGCCAGCAUCCAUAUCAUCAGAUGCAUGAAGUGGUCAUCUAAGUGGGAAAAGAUAUGUUUCCUGAAUACAGAGAUAAGAUGUUUUCAAUUUAUUUAUUUAUUUGUUUAUUUAUUUCAAAAUAAGGCUGAAAACUCAAACAUCAUAAAAACCCAGGUAUGUUUGUGUCAUAAAUGAAUAUAUUUUUAAAUUACUACAAUUGUUAUCAUUAUCAUUUUUACAGCAGAUCUCCAAGGCUGUCAGAGCAACACAACAAAAACAUCCAAGCAUAUCUAGAAGUCUCCGUUGCUCUCGAGAAGGCAAGGA